GAAAUGCGAUACGUAGUGUGAAUUGCAGAAUUCAGUGAAUCAUCGAAUCUUUGAACGCACAUUGCGCCCUUUGGCAUUCCAAAGGGCAUGCCUGUUCGAGCGUCAUUUGUACCCUCAAGCUUUGCUUGGUGUUGGGCGUUUUUUGUCUUUGGCUCGCCCAAAGACUCGCCUUAAAACGAUUGGCAGCCGGCCUACUGGUUUCGCAUCGCAGCACAUUUUUGCGCUUGCAAUCAGCAAAAGAGGACGGCAAUCCAUCAAGACUCCUUCUCACGUUUGACCUCGGAUCAGGUAGGGAUACCCGCUGAACUUAAGC
This 313-nucleotide unclassified non-coding RNA is filed under the name plant metagenome. RNAcentral describes it as "partial contains 5.8S ribosomal RNA, internal transcribed spacer 2, and large subunit ribosomal RNA". The stretch from base 1 to 105 matches the Rfam family "5.8S ribosomal RNA", at positions 50 to 154 of the family's 154-position model. The record is from RNAcentral.